Molecule: long non-coding RNA, 1337 nt
Filed under: Numida meleagris (helmeted guineafowl)
Lineage: Eukaryota; Metazoa; Chordata; Aves; Galliformes; Numididae
Description: lncRNA (ENSNMEG00000018735.1)
Source: RNAcentral
AUGCCAACUUCCCAGCCUCUCAUCUCAAGGGACAAAAGGGAAAAUGAAUCCUCCACUUCUCGCAACUCCCAGGGAAAAUUUCCCCGCGUCCUUUUGUGCAUCUCUGCUACGCCGAGGACCUCCUGUUUCCCCACAUUUCGCCCAGGUGCAGCGGGAAAGAACGCCUUUCGCUCCUUAAGUUCAAGCUUCGGGGAGUUGGUGCCAUGGCAGGUUUCAGUAGUCGCUUCCACUUGCCCUGUAUGUGGCACUUUCCCAUCUCUGCACGCCGGAGCAGUGCCGCCAGCUGAUUCCCCUUCAGAUGCUGCAGGCUCCCUCACUCCGUCUUCACGGUGGAAAUCUCUGCUGCGUGCAUUCGCACUGAAAUCUGCUCCGCAUUUAUGCAACUCGCACAGUUUACCACCGGUGUCAUCUCCUACCUCUUCAUUCAUUUGAAAUCUGCUAAAGAAGGGGAAUAAGAAGCGCAGAGACUUAAAGAGGCAAAAAGUGGCUUCUAGCUAGGAAUCCUUUUUUCUGCAGAGAACGAAGAAAGUAUUUUGGAAUUUUUAUUAAAGACAUAUUUUCACAUCAAAUUUUUAAUGCGGUCUUUCUUACAUAUUAGCCUUUUAGGUUGCUGAAGCUGGGGGAGAGCCAAGCUUUUGCUGGGAAGAAAUACAGACCUCGUGUUUUUUACCAGCUGAGGAAUCUCUCGGUCCUUACUGCGACACAAAACCUCUUCUUUCCCUCUGACGGAGGGAAGCGUGGAUGUCAGAGCUCUUUUUCCAAGAAAUGCCACUGUUCUCAGGUGCUGGUGGCUUGGUGCCUGCCCAGGCAGAGAGAGUUCUCGUGCUGGAUCUCGGCUUUUGCGCGCUAGGGGGAAAACUGAAGCAGAUUUCUGUGCUGUUGCUGUUGUUGCCGUAAGAGACUUUGGUACGAGGUGAAGCCAGCAACACCUCUUGGGAAAUAUUAAAUGCUUCAUGGAGGAAGGCCUAAAGAGGCCAAUAUCACAGCCCUUUUCCCAUGCAAGUCCUUCCAUUAAUUUCAGAGACUGCUCACAUAAGUACAGCCAGCGGGGUCAGGCCUUUAUUUACACACAGUAGCACCUCCAAAGGCUAAAGGAUGUCAUUUGCAGUCAUGCUCCUGUUUCACUUCCUACCUCUACCUCUGAUUUACUGGGCAACCUUGAGUAAAUCACUUAACCUCUCUAGGAUCAAGUUUACCCAAGUGCAAGAACAUUGCGAGCUUCCAACAAUAUUUGCAAAGUGCUUCGCAGUCCAUGGAGGAAAGAUGUACUUACAAAUGAUCAGUAUAGCUGCUUUCAAGGAAAUAAAGCUCAGUUUCUGUGUUUAAGCGUGUAUCCC